RNAcentral lists this long non-coding RNA (456 nucleotides) under Cricetulus griseus (Chinese hamster). Its description in RNAcentral is "lncRNA (ENSCGRG00000026534.1)". Lineage: Eukaryota; Metazoa; Chordata; Mammalia; Rodentia; Cricetidae. The record is from RNAcentral.
GGGAGUUCGUUAAAGCUGACCCAUCUUUCCCAUGGCUUGGGACAGGGGCUUGUAGGUCCCUGGAGCUAAGAGUGACAAAAUCCUUCCAAUUCACAGAGAAUGGGGACACAGGAGGUUCACACAAGGAAGAUGAGACACAGAGUAAGCUACUGUUGCAGGCUCCAUCCUCAACUCUCUUACCUCUGGAACCAAGGAGAGCAGGCACUAUGAAGUACAUACAGAAUUUACAGAUGGGUGUAAGGCCACAGCUAGCAGCCACUGAGCAAAAGCUACACAGCCAAACUUCCUGAACCUUUACAGGACAAUAAAAAUGCCACCAAUCAGCAAGGACAGACAGUUUUCUUCCUCUCUCACAAGGAGCCAGCACUCCACCUGGGGAAUAUCUUUCAAAGCUUGAGGGCCUGAGAGUACAGCUUUCAACGCUGCCCAAAAGAGGAUGCCACACAGGGCAGCCGC